UAAUGCUAGUGGAUGAGAAGC
Non-coding RNA from Caenorhabditis elegans, 21 nucleotides. The record is from Ensembl. Lineage: Eukaryota; Metazoa; Nematoda; Chromadorea; Rhabditida; Rhabditidae.